GGGUUGUGAGGUUAAGCGACUAAGCGUACACGGUGGAUGCCCUGGCAGUCAGAGGCGAUGAAGGACGUGCUAAUCUGCGAUAAGCGUCGGUAAGGUGAUAUGAACCGUUAUAACCGGCGAUUUCCGAAUGGGGAAACCCAGUGUGAUUCGUCACACUAUCAUUAACUGAAUCCAUAGGUUAAUGAGGCGAACCGGGGGAACUGAAACAUCUAAGUACCCCGAGGAAAAGAAAUCAACCGAGAUUCCCCCAGUAGCGGCGAGCGAACGGGGAGCAGCCCAGAGCCUGAAUCAGUGUGUGUGUUAGUGGAAGCGUCUGGAAAGGCGCGCGAUACAGGGUGACAGCCCCGUACACAAAAAUGCACAUGCUGUGAGCUCGAUGAGUAGGGCGGGACACGUGGUAUCCUGUCUGAAUAUGGGGGGACCAUCCUCCAAGGCUAAAUACUCCUGACUGACCGAUAGUGAACCAGUACCGUGAGGGAAAGGCGAAAAGAACCCCGGCGAGGGGAGUGAAAAAGAACCUGAAACCGUGUACGUACAAGCAGUGGGAGCCUCUUUAUGGGGUGACUGCGUACCUUUUGUAUAAUGGGUCAGCGACUUAUAUUCUGUAGCAAGGUUAACCGAAUAGGGGAGCCGAAGGGAAACCGAGUCUUAACUGGGCGUUAAGUUGCAGGGUAUAGACCCGAAACCCGGUGAUCUAGCCAUGGGCAGGUUGAAGGUUGGGUAACACUAACUGGAGGACCGAACCGACUAAUGUUGAAAAAUUAGCGGAUGACUUGUGGCUGGGGGUGAAAGGCCAAUCAAACCGGGAGAUAGCUGGUUCUCCCCGAAAGCUAUUUAGGUAGCGCCUCGUGAAUUCAUCUCCGGGGGUAGAGCACUGUUUCGGCAAGGGGGUCAUCCCGACUUACCAACCCGAUGCAAACUGCGAAUACCGGAGAAUGUUAUCACGGGAGACACACGGCGGGUGCUAACGUCCGUCGUGAAGAGGGAAACAACCCAGACCGCCAGCUAAGGUCCCAAAGUCAUGGUUAAGUGGGAAACGAUGUGGGAAGGCCCAGACAGCCAGGAUGUUGGCUUAGAAGCAGCCAUCAUUUAAAGAAAGCGUAAUAGCUCACUGGUCGAGUCGGCCUGCGCGGAAGAUGUAACGGGGCUAAACCAUGCACCGAAGCUGCGGCAGCGACACUAUGUGUUGUUGGGUAGGGGAGCGUUCUGUAAGCCUGCGAAGGUGUACUGUGAGGUAUGCUGGAGGUAUCAGAAGUGCGAAUGCUGACAUAAGUAACGAUAAAGCGGGUGAAAAGCCCGCUCGCCGGAAGACCAAGGGUUCCUGUCCAACGUUAAUCGGGGCAGGGUGAGUCGACCCCUAAGGCGAGGCCGAAAGGCGUAGUCGAUGGGAAACAGGUUAAUAUUCCUGUACUUGGUGUUACUGCGAAGGGGGGACGGAGAAGGCUAUGUUGGCCGGGCGACGGUUGUCCCGGUUUAAGCGUGUAGGCUGGUUUUCCAGGCAAAUCCGGAAAAUCAAGGCUGAGGCGUGAUGACGAGGCACUACGGUGCUGAAGCAACAAAUGCCCUGCUUCCAGGAAAAGCCUCUAAGCAUCAGGUAACAUCAAAUCGUACCCCAAACCGACACAGGUGGUCAGGUAGAGAAUACCAAGGCGCUUGAGAGAACUCGGGUGAAGGAACUAGGCAAAAUGGUGCCGUAACUUCGGGAGAAGGCACGCUGAUAUGUAGGUGAAGCGACUUGCUCGUGGAGCUGAAAUCAGUCGAAGAUACCAGCUGGCUGCAACUGUUUAUUAAAAACACAGCACUGUGCAAACACGAAAGUGGACGUAUACGGUGUGACGCCUGCCCGGUGCCGGAAGGUUAAUUGAUGGGGUUAGCGGUAACGCGAAGCUCUUGAUCGAAGCCCCGGUAAACGGCGGCCGUAACUAUAACGGUCCUAAGGUAGCGAAAUUCCUUGUCGGGUAAGUUCCGACCUGCACGAAUGGCGUAAUGAUGGCCAGGCUGUCUCCACCCGAGACUCAGUGAAAUUGAACUCGCUGUGAAGAUGCAGUGUACCCGCGGCAAGACGGAAAGACCCCGUGAACCUUUACUAUAGCUUGACACUGAACAUUGAGCCUUGAUGUGUAGGAUAGGUGGGAGGCUUUGAAGUGUGGACGCCAGUCUGCAUGGAGCCGACCUUGAAAUACCACCCUUUAAUGUUUGAUGUUCUAACGUUGGCCCCUGAUCGGGGUUGCGGACAGUGUCUGGUGGGUAGUUUGACUGGGGCGGUCUCCUCCUAAAGAGUAACGGAGGAGCACGAAGGUUGGCUAAUCCUGGUCGGACAUCAGGAGGUUAGUGCAAUGGCAUAAGCCAGCUUGACUGCGAGCGUGACGGCGCGAGCAGGUGCGAAAGCAGGUCAUAGUGAUCCGGUGGUUCUGAAUGGAAGGGCCAUCGCUCAACGGAUAAAAGGUACUCCGGGGAUAACAGGCUGAUACCGCCCAAGAGUUCAUAUC
Molecule: ribosomal RNA, 2489 nt
Filed under: Escherichia coli
Lineage: Bacteria; Pseudomonadati; Pseudomonadota; Gammaproteobacteria; Enterobacterales; Enterobacteriaceae
Description: bacterial LSU rRNA
Rfam family: Bacterial large subunit ribosomal RNA
Source: RNAcentral